RNAcentral lists this non-coding RNA (581 nucleotides) under Pongo abelii (Sumatran orangutan). Lineage: Eukaryota; Metazoa; Chordata; Mammalia; Primates; Hominidae. The record is from RNAcentral.
UCUGGAUGGCGGCGGCCGCGGCUCCGCCCCGGGUUCCCACCUCCUGAAGGGCGAGAGACAAGCCCGACCUGCUACGGAUGUGGAAACAGCAAGAGAACUAGAAUUGGAAGUAAAGCGUUGAAGAUGUGACUGAAUUGCUGCAAUCUCAUGAUCAAAUUUGAAUGGAUGAGGAGUUGCUUCUUAGGGAUAAGCUAAGAAAGUGGUUUCUUGAGAUGGAAUCUACUGGUUGCUCCUUGAGGGCAGGACAGUUCUUAUGGCUUUAUCUGUUGCUUAAGCACAGAGAGAGGUCUGUGAGGUCAAAACUGUUGUCAUGAUAGCAAGAUGCUUGUCUUUUUCAUUUAUUCUCACAGUGUGCAGAGGCUACAUGAUUUGUGAUGACAUCCUCAUUGUUGUUAAUGAAUGGUGCUAUACUUGAAUUUUCUAAGGUGUCGUUAGGUAGGUUUAGGUAUGCAUACUUGUUUUUAGAAAUUAUUUUUUCCCCUUUUCCCAUUUUUAGAAAUCAACUCAUUUUUUAGCCUUCAGUAAUCUUUGCAACCUCAAUAUUGUGCAAUUGUUAGUUUAAAAUACUGUAGUUUUCUUUG